Dreissena polymorpha is the source of this 2490-nucleotide long non-coding RNA. RefSeq lists it as uncharacterized. The transcript is spliced from 3 exons. Lineage: Eukaryota; Metazoa; Mollusca; Bivalvia; Myida; Dreissenidae. The record is from RefSeq and is a predicted model, not a curated record.
CGUCAUAAAUAGGACAUCUAUACGUUUAUACAUUUAAGAUUACUUGUAAUACGUGAGUAAAUGUUGAUGUUUUGGUAUCGUUAGUGACCAAAGUCAGGACUAUAAAGGGGUCUGAGGGGGUCCAUAUGGAAUUGCACAUGACCCCUAAAAGAGGCUUCACGAUCAGGGAGAAAAUCAACAGGGCGCUCAAAGAAAAAACCCUUGAGGACGGAAUUUAUGGGAUGCUCGGACGUAAAGACGUGAUGCACACCAGUGGGAACACCAUUAACCUUGGUAACGUCUCCGAUUUCAUCGACAGCAAGUGGGACUUCGAAUCUCACGUAAUUGUAAAAAGUAACAGCUCUGUUAUUGGUGGGAACGACGAAAGAAUCAGUUCACAUAAUACAACAAAAGCGCCUGGCAGAGCGAGUGCAUUUGUUCUUGGUGCUGUAGAUUUUGCAGAUGAAGGCAGGAUUACAUUAAUCGACGCCAUCUUGUCUAUGAGCGAAAGCCCUAACGUGACCAAUCACACAGACCAUGCAAAUACAAUUGCUUCUAAGGUCAGUGGUUUAACUACAAAGGAAAAUGUACAACCGGUCGCUGAUAAUUUAGUGGUUAUGAACACAACUGGGGAUGAUAACUUAAAUGGAAAAUUUAGAAAGUUGCUAUCACCUCAACAAUACAAAGUGUCGACUGAAGCAGCAAAUUUUAAUAUGAAAAAUCUACCAACGACAGGCAACCAAAUAUCUAAUCCCAUUCCACCACUGCCACACUGAAAGAAAGUACGCAGUUGCACCUACCGUCUCAUAUGAUUAGUACGGCAGAUUAUUUUCUUAACUGGAUUGAUGACGCGUCAACAACAAGAACACCGACAACCACAAUUCCAGAAAGCGUCAACAUUAAGACAUCAAUAGGUAGAUUCGAAGGCGCAAGUACCCUCGUGGCAGAUGGAUCUGACUUGAACAAAAAGUCAAAGAACGUUGAUAUAUGGUCCGGUAAAAACGGCAAAGCUGCGUUACUUGACAGCAAUUUGUCAUUAACGCAGAAAGUGGCAGAAAAUUCGACACAUGUGGACAGUAUAGUAAAUGCAAAAGGCAAUUAUUUCGGUAAGAAACAAGUUAUGCUUGAGACUCUCGAAACUAGAAAUGAAACUCCAGAAAAGACACACGGCAGCUCUUCAUUCGUCACAACAGCAAAAACGGUCGUUGACAGCAAAGAUUUGCAAGAAGUCGCAUCGUCUGCACAACAGAAAACUAUUGGACAGAGUCCGCAGAAGAGUUUUGUUAAUGAAGACACGCAUUUUGAAAUCGCUAACGAGUUUCAUGGACAGACUGAUACAUCAUCUAACGAAGCCGUUGUAAGCGUAAAAUCUUUGAACUCACAUAAAAUUGACCUCAAGCGCCACGGACCAACUGAAUUCAAAUACCACUCAGCUGAAAGCUGCGCAAGGAAUCACGGACCAACUGAAUUCAAAUACCACUCAGCUGAAAGCUGCGCAAGGAAUCAUUCGUGCACCAGUAGCAAGGAAACUCUUUAACCUAACUGAAAAAACUAUUUCAAGUCCCGUUGAAACAAGCAGUGUAUCCACUGAAACAAUUCCGCCUAAAAGCCCGAAACAGCGCACGAGAGUUGUUGAUUCACUGAUGAGUGAUGAUGCUCAGAAACUGCCAUUCAGGACCAACUCCAACUUCCGCUUCCUGUUCUCCAGCGACACAAGGCAUUCCCAGGACGAGCCUCAAGUGGCGCUACCUGUGUCAAGGUCCGCCCAAGCAUUUCAAACAAAUCAUGCGCUAUUAGAGAGUGCGUAAAUUAUAAAUGUAAAUUAAAGGUAGUUCUAACAGUUAAUUAAAUUAAUUGUCGAUACUUGAUGAAUAUAUAAUAUCCGUGUAUAUUUAACAGACAGUGUAUGACUAAGUUGGGAUGGAAGAUAUAAACCCAAACUGAUAUCUGUUCCGUGAGAGUGACUCUGAAACGCAACGCUAUUUUUUUGUAAGUGUCUAUCGUGUGUUUAAAUCAAGACGACCAAACACAUUUUAAGUUGUGUUCGAUUACGAAAUUAGAGGAUGUUUUCAAAUGAGAUACUUGAAAAAGUAGUUUUUUCUAACAAUGACUGACAACGACGGUGGCCUUAAUUAAGAAUGUUAGUUAUGCAAACUUGGUUUUGACUGCGAAAACUACUUACGCAAAGUUUCGGAAUGUUUGUAGAAGAUUUCGGUGAUAAUGACACCAAAAUAUUGUUUUCAUUUUUUAUCAUGGAAUAUUCUACUUAUGUAUGACCGCUCCAUUCGAGUUAUAAGAGGAACGAGCCACUUCAACCACUAGAACAGAACUGCGCUUCACCAGCCCACAUCCGACAAAAAGGGAAGUUACCGUGUUCUAGUCGCCUCGGAACGCAUUGCUCGCCGUUUUACUAAAUUCUUGUCAGUGUCAACAGUCCAUUUCGUGUUUAAAUGAUCCAUUGAAUCAGGACAUUGUACACCGAAGGUAAACUAAUGUAAAUCGCGCACAUAA